This 347-nucleotide unclassified non-coding RNA is filed under the name uncultured bacterium. Its description in RNAcentral is "contains 16S-23S intergenic spacer region". The record is from RNAcentral.
UCGCGGCUUAUCACCGGCAGUCCCCUUAGAGUGCCCAACUAAAUGAUGGCAACUAAGGGCGAGGGUUGCGCUCGUUGCGGGACUUAACCCAACAUCUCACGACACGAGCUGACGACAGCCAUGCACCACCUGCACACCAACCACAAGGGAACAGCCAUCUCUGACUGCGUCUAGUGCAUGUCAAACCCAGGUAAGGUUCUUCGCGUUGCAUCGAAUUAAUCCACAUGCUCCGCCGCUUGUGCGGGCCCCCGUCAAUUCCUUUGAGUUUCAGCCUUGCGGCCGUGCUCCCCAGGCGGGGUACUUACUGCGUUAGCGACGGCACCGGGAGGGUCGCUCCCCCCGACGCC